AAAGAAAAAGAAAAAAGAAAGAAAAGAAAAGAAAAAAAAAAGAAAAGUGUGUUUAAGCAGUCAUUUUUUGUGGCAGUUUUUUGACAGGAGUAGCAUGAUUUCAGUAGGAUUUUGCUUAGUGAGUAUGUGGGGAAAAGUCCAAAAGGUAUCAUAAGACAGGUCAAAGGGGAGAUGUUUUUCCUGAGAGCUUCUGUUGAACUCAUUUCUGAAGCCUUCCAGGUCCUCUUCACCAAGUUUUAAACAUUCACUCCUGACCACUAGGUGGCAGAAGAACUCUGAAUUAGUUAAAGAAAAAAAAAAUGCUGCUUAGUCUAGGUGGAUUUGCUAUGAACCUUUAAUUGAGACUU
This is a long non-coding RNA of Dipodomys spectabilis (banner-tailed kangaroo rat), 347 nucleotides long. RefSeq lists it as uncharacterized. The record is from RefSeq and is a predicted model, not a curated record. The transcript is spliced from 2 exons. NCBI's taxonomy places the organism in Eukaryota, Metazoa, Chordata, Mammalia, Rodentia, Heteromyidae.